GGAGCCAAUUAACACAGUGUUGGGGUGUCCCAGGCUGAGCAUGAACAAAGCAGAGGAACCUUCCUGGGAUAUCUGUACAAGGGGGCAGAGAGACAGACAGAGAGAGGGCUACAGGGCACUGGCCCUCGUGGGUAAGGAAGCUUGGGCAACUUCCCAGCAGACCUGUCACUUCUAAAACUUCAGUUAGGUCCCCAGUAUUCCCGACUUGAAGCUGAAUGAUCAUUCAAAGAAUCCUGUGGGCUGGGCCAAAGGAACCGGACAGAAGGAAGGAGGAGCCUGCCCCUGUGCUGGGUAUCCUGGCUUAACAGAAGCAAGUCUUCUCUACCCUCUGGUCCCUCCCAGUCAGCUGCUCUUCAGGACAGCACAAAUACCCCCACAAUGUUCCCUGCUGACCGGGAACCUGACCCGCGAUGAAGACAGACCCUGUCUACAACCGCGCCUGAGCUCCUAUCUCAGAGACCCUUGGCUUUGCAGGGGUGGGGGUGGGGGGUGGGGGUGGGGUCGAGGUUGUCCCUUCUCUAAAAGACUCGAGCUCCGAGAGUUCCACUGGUUUGGGGUGAAAACAUCUUUCUAUUUUUCUCCAGUGCCCUUGAGAAUUUGUACUCUAACUCCAAGAACCGCUAUGUUAGGCACAUCCAGGUCUAGGACUGGGUCCCUCCCAGACCCAAAAGGCUAAGCCAGUGGCUCUCAGCUUUCCCAACACUGUGACCCUUCAAUACAAUUCCUCACGUUGUGGCAAGCCACAAUCAUAAAAUUAUUUUCAUCGCUCCUUCACGACUGUAAUUUGGCCACUGUUAUGAAUCAUAAUGUAAGUCUUUUUGGAGAUAGCGGUCAGCCAGGGGAGUCACAACCCACGGGGCUAAGGGGGGACUUUCUGCACGUCUCUGACUCUCAGAAGCACAAGGCAAGGAUGCUCUGCGGUGCUCAGUCUCCUUCCUGGUGUGAGCCAUCUCUCUUCCCAGAGCCUCUAGCCUGGCAGCCAGAGGGAGGGGCAUGGCGAGACAGCAAGACUCAAUAGAAGGAAGAGAGAAAUCAGAGCCUGAUUUCCUGACCCAAGCGCCCUGGAAAACUCUGUUACUGGGGAACCCUACAGUACCUUCCCUCCAGGAGUCAGCAGAGAGCAAGGCAGGGGGAGAGGGCCCAGUCUGAGCUGCCUGUGUCUGAGGCCUACAUGGACAACUUCUAGGCUCAGAAGGCCUUUGGGAGUCCUCGCAGCAAACAGCAAGGCAGAGUGGGGAGCCCCGCCCCGCUCCCACCAAAAGGCCCAACACACAUGUAGAGAACAUUCUAAACAGAAUCUCCUAACAGCGCUGCCACUGCUUUGUGGACGAGACCACCAAGGAAAACCAAGAACUGGGGCUUGUGUCUGGGAAGAAGGAGAGACAAUGCGAGAGGCAGUGAGUGAGCCAGUCUGGGUUUGAGCCUCGUUAAAAUCCCCAGGCCAGGGUCUCCCGACUCUGCAGAAGCAGCAGGCCCAGAGCUUCCUUCCUUUCAUACAAAGCGCCCCUGGGGCGAGGCCUUUGGCCAGCUCUGGUUGGCAGUGCGAGUGCAGGCUGCUGGUUUCACAGACCUGCUCCUGAGGGAACUUUCCCGCCCAGAUGCACGGCCUGGAAAGCAGCUGCUUACAGUUGCCCUGCAAGGACCUAGGAGGAGGGGCCUCUGAGCUUGGUUGGCUGGGUGUAGACCAAUAGAAAGCCGUAAAACUUGGUUGGCUGGGUUGCAGACCAAUAGAAAGCCGGAAUCUUUCUUAAGCGCGCCGUUCAUCACAUCACUCGCCUGACCAAGCACCUACAAGGCUUCUCUAUUGCUUGGGGAGCCAAGAUAACGGCCUCUCGCUGGCACCCAUGCCCUCCACUGCCUGCCAGUCCUUUAGCUCAUGGUUCUGGGCCCUCGGUACACAGUCUGUCUUAAGCUAGUUAUUCUUCCCCGGGGACUCAGUUCCCUCUUCUCUAAAAUGGGAACGAGAGAUUCAAGUUCACAGAAUGAGGGGGAAGAUUAGACAAAGAGAAGCAAGCCAGGUUCUAAAUCAAGGGUCACGAGGUGGAUGCCGCUGGUGUCCUAUCUCGACACUACUCAGAACCGCAUCAAGGGCGCGGAAUCGAGAGAGAGGGCAGAGUGUAUAGCAUAGAGGGCUGGCACCAUCUAAGCCUGAUCCUGAACUCUAACAUGCACGGCUCAGGAAGGAGCAGAGGCUAUUGAAGGGGUGACCUGAAGGAUCCCGACUCCGGAAGAGGACUCUCACCAGCAUACUCUCCUAUAGUACGCCCUCCUUCCACCCUGCAGGCCCCACCCCACCUGAAGAUUGGGCGUAGGAAACCUCAGGAUAGAAAGUUCUGGUAUGAUGAUGCGCCCUAAUCCUCACCAAGUUGGAUUUUGUUGUUUAUUAGGUAUUGGGGGGUGGAGUGUGGAGAAAGGUCUUAUGUGUGGCGCAGGCUGGCCUUGAACUUAUGAUUCAGGAACUCAGCUUCUUGGGUACUAUGAUUAUAGAUAGGUACGUCCCUCCUGGCUGGGGUUACCACUGAGUUGAUUUGAGGGUCAAGAGAAAUUUACUUGUAAGCUGUAAAGUGUUGAGCGUGUGGUGGCACCGGGCUUUGGGGGUUACUCACAGCAGCACCAGCAGGGCCAGUCCGUCCUCUCUCACCAGGCAGGCCACGGGGACCCUGCAACACACACCAGCGCGGUUUAAGUGUGAGUUGGCAUAAUGAUGGUCUGCGUCAUGACUUCUUCCCACCCACGGUGGCCCCAUCUCGACCCUAGAUCCUGCUCCCAGGACACAGGGGUUCCUUCAGGGAGACCCCUGUGUCUUCCUGCCCCUUCCUAUGGAGAAUGCAGCUCGGUUCUCAAAACAGAUGAGUCACCCAAAUCAUUGAAGACAAACAGAUUUUUUUUUAAGAGUAACUGAAAUGUGCUUUAAACGUGCCUAACUGUUCCUGUUUCGAGGAAGGGCGUGUGAAAUGUUGAACAAUCUACGCUGCAGGUUGGGUUGGCUCAUAAUCGGAUAAAUCUGUGCGAACAGCUUUGCAUGAGUGCAUGAAGGAGGAAAUGCUGCUGUUUGCAGGGUAGCUGUCUGACAGGUGUUUCGGGAGUCUUAAGAGUGUGGGGUGGCUUCCCCAGGGGUGACUCUCAUACUCACCAUUGGGCCCGGGGAUCCGUUCUCACCAGGGGAACCACUCUCACCCUGGAGAAAGAGACAUAUAGGGUCAGUGUCUGGAGUCUUGGCUUCCAGAAACUUCCUAGGUAAGUCAUCGAUAGGUCUGGCUGGCUCAAUUAGGCCUGAGACAUGUCAAUUUCAGUCCGGGGAGAGACGAUGUCCCCAAACUCUAAGGCCUGCUGCUCAUGUACCAAGAUGUAGACUGGGUGUUCCCAGCUAUGUUCUAACUCCCGACCCCAUCAGCGCCGCCUUGACUGGACAGUUGUCCCCUACCGCCACCCCCUGUGUGUCUUGUGGCCCCUUUACCUUCACACCCGGAGCACCAGCUUCCCCCUUAGCACCGUCGAGGCCUGGGUAACCCUGGGAAACAGGACGAGGGUUCCGUCACAUGUCUGGGAGCCCACCCAGGAAAUAGUGUGCAUAACCCCCAAACAUCCUAUCCCAUGAUACUUACUCUGUGACCCUUGACACCGGGGAGACCCGGGGUUCCUGGGAAUCCACGAGCACCCUGCAAUACCAAGAGGAGGUACUCAGAGGAAAGCAGAGAUUGGGUGAAGGCUGCUGGAUAGACUGCAAGUCCAGCUCCCUCAGGCCUACAGAAACAGGCAUCCAGGUGUGUCCACAGCUCCUUCAGCCCAACCCAGAGCAUCACCUUGUGAUCAUACAAACACGGUAUCCAGCGUGAAGGCAUUACGUACACAGUACCGUUAGUACCGUGAGCUAACCAAGACGAGUGAGCCAUAUGGACUCAGAGGGAGACUGGAAAAGCCUGUGAGAGCGAGGAAGAUGAAGCUUUACCUGAGGGCCAGGGAGGCCUCUUUCCCCAGACUUUCCGGGCUUCCCAGCUUCACCCUGAACAGAAAGAGAGGCAUCUCAUUUUUCUUGGCAGUCUCUUGAGCGUAUUCACUCCACGGCUGGGCAUCUGCCUAUCUGCCCACCUUGACCACGCCCUUCCUGCAGAUGCCCGUGACCCAGAAUGCCUCUGUGGUUUAUCCCUUGGCAAGUUCCUGGGCCCUCACUCCACUGUCCCCAGCAAGCGUCUGGUCCCCUCUCCAGAGCCCUGUGGACUGGCCUGUAUGCCCUGAUCUCCAGAGGCCUUGCUGUGUGCUGCCAGUCAUAAAAAAAAGCUCAAGAAAGCCAGCUCUUCUCUCUAUUUUUUUAUGUCCCCCUCCUCUGUAGACAUUCUGGCUCAGGCUGAGUUUGUCUAUCUCAUUUACAAUUGAGAUGAUGGUAGCCUGUUUGUUGACCGACUCUUGCUUUGUUUUUCUACUCUAUACCGCUGUGCUUUGAGUCCUCCCAUCCCGGCUGGCUCUCUCCUUUCUCAUUUCUCUUCCCGAAGUUAAUGAUGUUUUAAUUACUCUCCUUCUUGUGGGAUCUAAAGGGAUCCCCAGGGAUCUGGCAAGCUGAGAUGCAAAUAAAGGAUAUGUGGGUGGUAGAUAGCUGGAAUUUAGGACUGGCUAGCCUGGUUCCUCAGGACGUCUCUCUACCCCAAGCCCCAGCACAUCCUCUCUCUGGGUCUGGGGCUUCUUGGGUCUACUCACGUCGUCACCAGGUUUUCCAGCAGGGCCAGGAGGACCUCGGGGACCCAUGGGACCCUACAAAUAGAGAAUUCAAGACCUGGUUGGAAGGGAAACACAACUCGAGGCGGUCGCUUUGGAAGCUAGUUACUCUACAAGGAAGAGAGACAAAAAGGCCCCAUUUGGACCGAGACGCUGGCCUUGCUCCCUCCUGGAUGGCGGCCAUGUUUACUAAAGUCUGAAUUUCAUUUAGCAUGUGCCAAGCCAUCGCUGCAGGGUGAGAUUUCCUGCUGGAAGCCUGGUGGAUGCUGAAGAACAGUCGCUGCUGUCUGCAUUCUUCAGUUCUCCUUCCAAGAGCAGUGGCAACCAGCCCCCUAAUACAUCGGCUCUGUGCAUCACUCCGUCCCCCUUCCUCCUAGACACACUAGAGCGUCAUCCAGACUGGCAUCCAUCACCAUUAAAAACCAAACUCCCCAGGGUUAAAUGAGAGGUUUCCCAUAGCUGAUGGAAAUGAGAUGCCCUAAAUCAUCGGCGAAGGCAGAGGUUGCUGGGUCUCUGGCUUUGCGAAAGGUGCCCUCCUCCCGUCCGGUCAGCACAGAACUGGAAUCCUACCAUGGGCCCUUGCAUGACUCCCAUCUGGGCACCACCAGCCUUCUCGUCAUACCCUCCAGCCAUCUGAGCCGCGAAGUUCUGCAAAGCAACAGAGCCGUGUUAGGGGGCUGAGAGGCCCUGGUGUCAUUCCUAAUUGCUCGGAGUUCUACCUAGUCUCUGGUUAUCAGGGACUAGCCGAGCAGCGUUGGUCAGAAUUGCCAAAGGGAUCUGACAACGUUUUGGGAGUGUGCCCUUGCGACAGUGGUAGAAUCACUUCCUUGGAAAGUCAAGUGUUAUUUGUGGUGGUCCCGGUCCCUCACGCUCUGCCUUAUAAACGUUCAUAUUCUGAAACAUUCAUAAGUAAAACAUCGCCUUUAAAAGGCA
Long non-coding RNA from Mus musculus (house mouse), 5643 nucleotides. RefSeq annotates it as predicted gene, 46536. The transcript has 2 exons. NCBI's taxonomy places the organism in Eukaryota, Metazoa, Chordata, Mammalia, Rodentia, Muridae. The record is from RefSeq and is a predicted model, not a curated record.